RNAcentral lists this ribosomal RNA (465 nucleotides) under Vreelandella stevensii. RNAcentral describes it as "partial 16S ribosomal RNA". It matches the Rfam family "Bacterial small subunit ribosomal RNA", at positions 338 to 795 of the family's 1533-position model. The record is from RNAcentral. Lineage: Bacteria; Pseudomonadati; Pseudomonadota; Gammaproteobacteria; Oceanospirillales; Halomonadaceae.
CCUACGGGAGGCAGCAGUGGGGAAUAUUGGACAAUGGGCGAAAGCCUGAUCCAGCCAUGCCGUGUGUGUGAAGAAGGCCUUCGGGUUGUAAAGCACUUUCAGUGGGGAAGAAAGCCUUGGGGCUAAUACCCUCGAGGAAGGACAUCACCCACAGAAGAAGCACCGGCUAACUCCGUGCCAGCAGCCGCGGUAAUACGGAGGGUGCGAGCGUUAAUCGGAAUUACUGGGCGUAAAGCGCGCGUAGGCGGUCUGAUAAGCCGGUUGUGAAAGCCCCGGGCUCAACCUGGGAACGGCAUCCGGAACUGUCAGGCUAGAGUGCAGGAGAGGAAGGUAGAAUUCCCGGUGUAGCGGUGAAAUGCGUAGAGAUCGGGAGGAAUACCAGUGGCGAAGGCGGCCUUCUGGACUGACACUGACGCUGAGGUGCGAAAGCGUGGGUAGCAAACAGGAUUAGAUACCCCGGUAGUC